AAAAAGGCAAACCGUGGAUUCUCGUACCAACGUUUGACUGUCCAUCUUAUAUGAAAUUUUUUAUAAUUAGUAUUUUCAUUGUUGUUAGAUGAUAAAACAUGAUUAAUACUUUAUGCGUGACUUAUCUUUUUAAUUUUUUUCAUAAUUUUUUCAAAUAAAACGGACGGUCAAACGUUGGACACGGAAACCAGGGUUUGUCUUUUU
Molecule: non-coding RNA, 204 nt
Organism: Oryza glumipatula
Lineage: Eukaryota; Viridiplantae; Streptophyta; Magnoliopsida; Poales; Poaceae
Source: Rfam